This is a long non-coding RNA of Alligator sinensis (Chinese alligator), 305 nucleotides long. RefSeq lists it as uncharacterized. The transcript has 3 exons. The record is from RefSeq and is a predicted model, not a curated record. Lineage: Eukaryota; Metazoa; Chordata; Crocodylia; Alligatoridae.
ACUUCAGGAAUGUGAUCUUCUCCAUCUGGUUGUGCUUAUGACUUACAUUGUGGCUGGAAAAGAAGCAUUCUGAGAAUGGGGAGAACUAACCAACUAAGGGAAGGAAAAAAAUAACCAUCUCUCCACUCUGUGUCUUUUGAACAAAGAUAAUUUUGAUGGAAAGUAGUGGACUUCACCCAUUCACUGACUCCUAAGCAAUGAAGACGCUUUCCAUUUUCUUAGUACAAAGAACACCUUUGACUAUAUUAUUAUGUUGCUAUUGGUAGCAACGGUUUGCACUGGUGAGGAGAUAUGAUAAGCAAGAA